CCUACGGGUGGCAGCAGUGGGGGAUCUUGCACAAUGGGGGAAACCCUGAUGCAGCGACGCCGCGUGUGGGAAGACGGUCCUCUGGAUUGUAAACCACUGUCCCCAGGGACGAAGAUGACGGUACCUGGGGAGGAAGCUCCGGCUAACUACGUGCCAGCAGCCGCGGUAAUACGUAGGGAGCAAGCGUUGUCCGGAAUUACUGGGUGUAAAGGGAGCGGAGGGGGGAUGGCAAGUUGGUGGUUAAAUCUACCGGCCAAACUGGUAGUCGCACUCAAAACUGCUAUACUUGAGUGAAGUAGAGGCAGGCGGAAGUCCUAGUGUAGCGGUGAAAUGCGUAGAUAUUAGGAGGAACACCAGUGGCGAAGGCGGCCUGCUGGGCUUCUACUGACGCUGAGGCUCGAAAGUGUGGGGAGCAAACAGGAUUAGAUACCCGGGUAGUC
This 440-nucleotide ribosomal RNA is filed under the name uncultured bacterium. Its description in RNAcentral is "partial 16S ribosomal RNA". It matches the Rfam family "Bacterial small subunit ribosomal RNA", at positions 338 to 795 of the family's 1533-position model. The record is from RNAcentral.